Molecule: ribosomal RNA, 546 nt
Filed under: uncultured stramenopile
Lineage: Eukaryota
Description: SSU rRNA
Rfam family: Eukaryotic small subunit ribosomal RNA
Source: RNAcentral
GUGCAGCAGCCGCGGUAAUUCCAGCUCCAAUAGCGUAUACUAAAGUUGUUGCAGUUAAAAAGCUCGUAGUUGAAUUUCUGGUCUUGGAUUUCGGUCUGCCUCAAACGAGGUAUGUACCAGGGAUCUGAGACCAUCCUCGAGGAAAACAUAUCUGUCAUUAAGUUAAUGGGUAUGGGAUCCUCGUCAUUUACUGUGAGCAAAAUAGGGUGUUCAAAGCAGGCUUAUGCCGUUGAAUACAUUAGCAUGGAAUAAUAAGAUAAGACCUUGGUCUAUUUUGUUGGUUUGUACUCCAAGGUAAUGAUUAAUAGGGAUAGUUGGGGGUAUUCGUAUUCAAUUGUCAGAGGUGAAAUUCUUGGAUUUAUGGAAGACGAACUACUGCGAAAGCAUUUACCAAGGAUGUUUUCAUCAAUCAAGAACGAAAGUUAGGGGAUCGAAGAUGAUUAGAUACCAUCGUAGUCUUAACCAUAAACUAUGCCGACUAGGGAUUGGUGGACGUUUGUAACGACUCCAUCAGCACCUUAUGAGAAAUCAAAGUCUUUGGGUUCC